Molecule: ribosomal RNA, 461 nt
Filed under: uncultured bacterium
Lineage: Bacteria
Description: bacterial SSU rRNA
Rfam family: Bacterial small subunit ribosomal RNA
Source: RNAcentral
AACGAACGCUGGCGGCAUGCCUAACACAUGCAAGUCGAACGAGACCUUCGGGUCUAGUGGCGCACGGGUGCGUAACGCGUGGGGAUCUGCCCUUUGCUUCGGAAUAACAGUUAGAAAUGACUGCUAAUACCGGAUGAUGACUUCGGUCCAAAGAUUUAUCGGCAAAGGAUGAACCCGCGUAGGAUUAGCUAGUUGGUGGGGUAAAGGCCUACCAAGGCGACGAUCCUUAGCUGGUCUGAGAGGAUGAUCAGCCACACUGGGACUGAGACACGGCCCAGACUCCUACGGGAGGCAGCAGUGGGGAAUAUUGGACAAUGGGCGAAAGCCUGAUCCAGCAAUGCCGCGUGAGUGAUGAAGGCCUUAGGGUUGUAAAGCUCUUUUACCCGGGAUGAUAAUGACAGUACCGGAGAAUAAGACUCCGGCUAACUCCGUGCCAGCAGCCGCGGUAAUCUGAGUCGGAG